RNAcentral lists this transfer RNA (75 nucleotides) under Candidatus Staskawiczbacteria bacterium RIFCSPHIGHO2_01_FULL_34_27. RNAcentral's name for it is "tRNA-Arg". It matches the Rfam family "tRNA". From Rfam's summary of the family: Transfer RNA (tRNA) molecules are approximately 80 nucleotides in length. Their secondary structure includes four short double-helical elements and three loops (D, anti-codon, and T loops). Further hydrogen bonds mediate the characteristic L-shaped molecular structure. tRNAs have two regions of fundamental functional importance: the anti-codon, which is responsible for specific mRNA codon recognition, and the 3' end, to which the tRNAs corresponding amino acid is attached (by aminoacyl-tRNA synthetases). tRNAs cope with the degeneracy of the genetic code in two manners: having more than one tRNA (with a specific anti-codon) for a particular amino acid; and 'wobble' base-pairing, i.e. permitting non-standard base-pairing at the 3rd anti-codon position. The record is from RNAcentral. Lineage: Bacteria; Candidatus Staskawicziibacteriota. RNAcentral also lists the same sequence under 1 other name.
GCCCUCGUAGUUCAAUGGAUAGAACGGCCCCGUCCUAAGGGGCAAAUAUGGGUCCGAUUCCUGUCGAGGGCACCA